GACAGAGGGUGCAAACGUUGUUCGGAAUUACUGGGCGUAAAGCGCGUGUAGGCGGCUGCGCAAGUCGGGUGUGAAAGCCCUGGGCUCAACCCAGGAAGUGCACUCGAAACUGCGUAGCUGGAGUCUCGGAGAGGGAGGCGGAAUUCUGGGUGUAGAGGUGAAAUUCGUAGAUAUCCGGAGGAACACCGGUGGCGAAGGCGGCCUCCUGGACGAGAACUGACGCUGAGACGCGAAAGCGUGGGGAGCGAACAGG
This 253-nucleotide ribosomal RNA is filed under the name uncultured bacterium. Its description in RNAcentral is "partial 16S ribosomal RNA". It matches the Rfam family "Bacterial small subunit ribosomal RNA", at positions 524 to 776 of the family's 1533-position model. The record is from RNAcentral.